RNAcentral lists this long non-coding RNA (1680 nucleotides) under Anser cygnoides (Swan goose). Its description in RNAcentral is "lncRNA (ENSACDG00005002991.1)". Lineage: Eukaryota; Metazoa; Chordata; Aves; Anseriformes; Anatidae. The record is from RNAcentral.
AUAAUUUUAUAUUUAUAAUUUUAUAAACUGGGGAGUAAUCCUGGCUGCCUGACUCUGACAAAGUGGGAAAAUAUUUAGAGGUGUAUUGUUCUAAAGAUCAGUCUAAAAGAGUAUAUUCUGAUAUGCUGAUAUGAGUAUAUUAUGCUGAUAAGUAUGAGUAUAUAUGCAGAUAAGAGUAUAUUAUGAUAUGCUGAUGUGCUAUAUAAGGCUGAUACACUGGAAUAACAACAUUUUUGCAUUAGGCAAAAAAAAAAAGGCAGAAAAACAUAUCUCUUUAGAAGCUCUUUAGAAGUUCAUCUGCUAAAAAGUUGAUCAGAUCUUUUUUUUUUUCUUGUUUCUUGUUUCUUGUUUCUUGUUUCUUGUUUCUUGUUUCUUGUUUCUUGUUUCUUGUUUCUUGUUUCUUGUUUCUUGUUUCUUGUUUCUUGUUUCUUGUUUCUUGUUUCUUGUUUCUUGUUUCUUUUCCAGAAGAGAAAUAACCUGAAUGUUUUCCCCAGCAAAGUCAAUCUUCAAUGCCAUUAUCUUUUGCAUUUCAUAACCAUCAGGGCCCAGUUCUCACUGAAAUGGGAGACCACCAAAUUUUUUUUUUUUUUUUUUUUUUUUUUGCUUUUAAAUGUUAAGAAUUCCUCAGUAGAUGUCUGUGAUGUCAAAUUUGGUAGAAUUUGAAGAGAAAAAUGUUCAUAUUCAUAAAAACUAUUUAAUAGGUACUCAUUUUCAAUUUUGACCCCAACCUUAAAUAGUUCUGAAUAUAACUCAUGUUAUUAAUUGUCAUAAUCAAAACUGGCAUUGUUGUGCUUCAUGAACAAUUGAGAAAAGAUGAAAAGGCAAUAAACCUUAAUCAGGUCAGUGAUUAGAGAAAUGUAUCACAGUGUGAACACAUGGUGAUACAUACAUCCACUUUCCCCUUGUACUGAAAAACAUUGAGAGUCAGUUGUAUUUCCCGUGGACAUGAAAUGCAGAACAUCAAACAGCCGAGUGUCUGCAGAAUAGGUUUGAUACAUAAUGUGGUACAAGAGAGAUAUAGAAUACUUUCUGCAGUCUUGUAAGAGAUAUGCUGGCCAUGCCUCUUUUGAUGGCACCCAGGACGCAGUUGGUCUUCUGAGCUGCAAGUUCUCACUGCUGGCUCAUUUCAAGCUUUUCAUCCACCAGAACCCCCAAGUCCUUCUCCACAAGGCUGCUCUCAAUGAGUUCUUCUCCCAGUCUAUACUCAGGGGACAUAGGUGUUCACAUUGAUGGAGUAUUUCAAAAUGUGUCUGAGACUCCAACAGACCUGCAACAUUGGAUUUCCAAAUACAACAACACCUUCAGUUGAUUGAUUUGUGUAUGUCUCUGAUGUCUCUGUUUAUAAAAGAAGAAAAUAAUUCAGAAGACUAAGGCUCUAACCUAGCACUAUUGCUGGUUUGCUCAUGUGAUCUUUGAGAAGCCACUUCAGAUUCUAUGCCUUAACUUUCCCAUUUGAAGAGGGGAAAUGACGUUGCUUACAUCACAAGUGUUUAUCAGAGUGUUUUGUCCAUGUUAAAAAAAAAAAAAAAACAAUAAGCUACCUAGAUGGUGUAAAUUUUAGUAUGUUCCAACAGGAAUUCAUUAUCAUGUUCUAGCUGAAUUACUGAAUUACCUAUUUUGUAAUUAUUGUAACUCAUUUAUUUAAAUAAAAAGGCUUUAAUAAAGGAUUUUUUAAAUGUU